AUGGCCAUCCAUGUCGCCGUUGUCGUCGUUCUUCGCGCCACCGGAUGGAAUCGCCGCCACUGCACGCCUCUGUCGAGCUUGUGCCAUUGCCGUCGUCGCGGGCAGGCAGAAGCCUCUGUACGGCGUCGCCGCACAAGCCGGAUCUCUGCACCUCCUCUCAAGCCGCCGGAUGGCGCCCUCCAUUGCCUGAAGGGUCUCAAGCUUGAUUUCCACUAUGUUGGUUUAGCAGAUUACUAUUGCCUAGCUCAACUUCUCAAAAAGAGGAGCUGGGACCUGGGAGGAAUGACUCAUCUGGAUACCAAGCCUAUCUCCAUUGGUGGUUCCCCAAAUCAUAGCCAAUCACCUGUAGCUCACUCAAGAAUUAGAGACGAUGAAACCCAAGAAACUGAAGCAGGAAAAUCAUUGAAUGAGAAGCUAACAUGUGCAAAUGGGCCAAAUGAUUCUUUCCCACAGCAUGGUGAACUACCACUGCCAGAGGUCUCUACAAGUGUAGGAGAUGCUGAUAUGCAGGAUUCUGUGAAGAGUUUAAGUGAGAAGCUCUCUGCUGCUCUUUUGACUAUCAGUGCUAAAGAGGACUUGGUGAAGCAGCAUGCAAAAGUUGCAGAAGAUGUUGUUGCAGGUUGGGAGCUUGCUGAAGGUGAAGUUAGUAACCUGAAGCGGCCACUUGAUGCUUCAUCUCUGAAGAAUCCCUCUCUGGGGUCGCUCUGGUUGCCCCGUCGUCGUCGCCCAUCCUCUCCACCCCACCCCGGCCUGUCUCCUCCCUGCCCGCCGAAAGGAUGCUGCUGCUCACGCCGCUGCACCACUGGAGGAGCGCAUCGACUGUGGCGCUCGGCUCUCCUCCCUGCCCGCAUCUUCUUCGUCGCCGAGUAG
RNAcentral lists this ribosomal RNA (870 nucleotides) under Triticum aestivum (bread wheat). Its description in RNAcentral is "partial small subunit ribosomal RNA". Lineage: Eukaryota; Viridiplantae; Streptophyta; Magnoliopsida; Poales; Poaceae. The record is from RNAcentral.